UACAGAGGGGGCAAGCGUUGUUCGGAAUUACUGGGCGUAAAGGGCGCGUAGGCGGCCAACUAAGUCGGACGUGAAAUCCCCGGGCUCAACCCGGGAACUGCGUCCGAUACUGGAUGGCUUGAAUCCGGGAGAGGGAUGUGGAAUUCCAGGUGUAGCGGUGAAAUGCGUAGAUAUCUGGAGGAACACCGGUGGCGAAGGCGGCAUCCUGGACCGGUAUUGACGCUGAGGAGCGAAAGCGUGGGGAGCAAACAGG
RNAcentral lists this ribosomal RNA (253 nucleotides) under uncultured bacterium. RNAcentral's name for it is "partial 16S ribosomal RNA". It matches the Rfam family "Bacterial small subunit ribosomal RNA", at positions 524 to 776 of the family's 1533-position model. The record is from RNAcentral.